CCGUGGACGUCCUUCGGCUACCUGUUAGUAGUCCCGGCGCCCCGGCCUCGCUCCGCAGCCCUGGCAUCGGCCUUUUGGUCCGAGCCUCUUUUGUGUCGCGCCCGACGCUUCCGAUUGCAGCCCCUGCUGUCCCCACCGCGCCCUCCCGUCCCCGCCGCAUUGGGUUCAGUCAAAGUUUAUCAGUGCCUGUUGUGAGCUUACGAAGUACCUGGCCUGGCCGGAGUGGAUCGAUGGCAUACUUAAUUAUUCCUUAGUAUUCUCCAAAAUCCUUGGGAAAGAGAACUUUCCUUGGCCAUAGAGGCUGCUGAAAACAGAUUGACCCAGAAGAACCAUAGCAUGUUACUUAGAAAAGAUCUGCUGCUGCUUUUAAUAAUCCCUAAGGCCAAAGUUCUUACAACUGAGGCUCACAGACACAUUUAGGGAACGAAGAAGAACAAAAGUUGAAAUCCUGCUAUCCUGUCCACCAAAAUGGCUUCCUCUCCACUGCUGUAGCUAUGUCUGACAGCUGUCUUCUGUCAAUGAUGUCUAACAUCAUUGGCCUGCUCCUCCUUACCCAUUACUCCCUGUAUUUUUAACCUACCUGGAUUGUUACAUUAUUUUUUAUUGUGGUAAAAUAUACAUAACAAGAUUUACCAUUUUAACGAUUUUAAAUGUAAAAUUCAGUGGCAAAAAGUACAUUCACAACGUUGUGUAACUAUCACCACCAUUUCCAGAACUUUUUCAUCAUCCCAAACAAUCUCUCUGUCCAUUAAGCAAUAACUCUCAACUCCCACUUCCCCAA
RNAcentral lists this long non-coding RNA (781 nucleotides) under Dasypus novemcinctus (nine-banded armadillo). Its description in RNAcentral is "lncRNA (ENSDNOG00000051838.1)". Lineage: Eukaryota; Metazoa; Chordata; Mammalia; Cingulata; Dasypodidae. The record is from RNAcentral.